Molecule: ribosomal RNA, 253 nt
Filed under: uncultured bacterium
Lineage: Bacteria
Description: partial 16S ribosomal RNA
Rfam family: Bacterial small subunit ribosomal RNA
Source: RNAcentral
UACGAAGGGAGCUAGCGUUGUUCGGAAUCACUGGGCGUAAAGCGCACGUAGGCGGGUGUGUCAGGCAGGGGUGAAAUCCCGGAGCUCAACUUCGGAACUGCCUUUGAUACAGCACGUCUUGAGUCCGAUAGAGGUGGGUGGAAUUCCUAGUGUAGAGGUGAAAUUCGUAGAUAUUAGGAAGAACACCGGUGGCGAAGGCGGCCCACUGGAUCGGUACUGACGCUGAGGUGCGAAAGCGUGGGGAGCAAACAGG